This 706-nucleotide long non-coding RNA is filed under the name Setaria viridis. Its description in RNAcentral is "long non-coding RNA (SVIR_LNC003185)". Lineage: Eukaryota; Viridiplantae; Streptophyta; Magnoliopsida; Poales; Poaceae. The record is from RNAcentral.
GUGCGUGGGGGGUGCUGUGAGAGAAGGAGACGGAGAGGGGGUAUGGGGAAGUUUCAGGAACCUUUGUGCAAGACUUAAAUAGAUCUAAGGGUUGAAAUGCAAGAUGACCGCGGUUUUGUUUUGUUUCCUAGUUUUAAAUAGCUGCAAAUUUGGAAAAUGCAUAGAAAUAUGUAGAAAAAAAGCUAAAAAUGUGAAGCUUGUUUUGUUGAGUUCCUGAUGAUAUCUAGUUUAUUUCAAAAAUUAUUAUGUGUAUGUUCCUAUUCCAUAUCUGGUGCUAUGAUUUAUUUUGAUCUAAUAGUUGUUAAAUGUUUUAUACAUCAUGUGGUGGUCCAAAAAUUGUGAAACCAAUUUUGGUAGCUUCCAUUUACCAUUUAUAUUCUAGAUAUGCAAGUUGUAUUAUUGGAAUCUAUGGUUUUCAUGCUAUUUUAAAUCUAAUGCUUGUUUGCUGUCUUAAUUUUGUUAUUUGCAUGAUAAUUAGUGGAAAAUUGAUAAAGUGUUGAAACCACUUCUGUUAGCCUAUGUUUUCUACAUAGAAUCUAGAAAAAUGAUGUUGAUGAUUUUCUGGUUAAUUUACAAGCCUUUUGGGAUUUAAUGUGUUUAAUGGUAGUUUGUCUUGUUUAUUUUACAUCUCCACAUUAAAAAUUGAUUUUGAUGUGAAUCCAAUUCUCAUGAUUUUGUAUUGUUGUCUUCUAUCAGUGCACUUUAU